Molecule: unclassified non-coding RNA, 205 nt
Filed under: Hevea brasiliensis (rubber tree)
Lineage: Eukaryota; Viridiplantae; Streptophyta; Magnoliopsida; Malpighiales; Euphorbiaceae
Source: RNAcentral
GCAGUCAGUGCCACAAAAUCCACUGUCUUACAUGUUCAGUACAUUGGGUAGUUCUACUACUCGACCAUCUCCAUCUAUUCAGAGUCGUCCUGGUAAUUUUCUCCAUAGACUCAACGAUAAUAGUUCUUCUCCUUCUAAUGACAACAAAUCGGAAAAUAAUUUCACCUUCUAAUUAAUUAAAGAGAAAUUGACUCUGUCAUUCUGU